This 490-nucleotide ribosomal RNA is filed under the name uncultured bacterium. Its description in RNAcentral is "partial 16S ribosomal RNA". It matches the Rfam family "Bacterial small subunit ribosomal RNA", at positions 30 to 507 of the family's 1533-position model. The record is from RNAcentral.
AUUGAACGCUGGCGGCAGGCCUAACACAUGCAAGUCGAACGGUAACAGGAAGCAGCUUGCUGCUUUGCUGACGAGUGGCGGACGGGUGAGUAAUGUCUGGGAAACUGCCUGAUGGAGGGGGAUAACUACUGGAAACGGUAGCUAAUACCGCAUAACGUCUCAAGACCAAAGAGGGGGACCUUAGGGCCUCUUGCCAUCGGAUGUGCCCAGAUGGGAUUAGCUAGUAGGUGGGGUAACGGCUAACCUAGGCGACGAUCCCUAGCUGGUCUGAGAGGAUGACCAGCCACACUGGAACUGAGACACGGUCCAGACUCCUACGGGAGGCAGCAGUGGGGAAUAUUGCACAAUGGGCGCAAGCCUGAUGCAGCCAUGCCGCGUGUAUGAAGAAGGCCUUCGGGUUGUAAAGUACUUUCAGCAGGGAGGAAGGGAGUAAAGUUAAUCCCUUUGCUCAUUGACGUUACCCGCAGAGGAAGCACCGGCUAACUCCGUG